AUUCCAGCUCCAGUAGCGUAUAUUAAAGUUGUUGCAGUUAAAAAGCUCGUAGUUGGAUUUCUGGCUCGACGGAGCUGACCCGCGGCGCAAGCCGUGAGUGUCGGUCUCGGUCUGCCAUCCUUCCAGAGAACGUUCCUACCCUUCACUGGGCCGGGUUCGCAAUCUGGAACUUUUACUUUGAGGAAAUUAGAGUGUUCAAAGCAGGCUUGCGCUGUGAAUACAUUAGCAUGGAAUAUCAACUUAGGACUUUGGUUCUAUUUUGUUGGUUUCUAGGACUGAAGUAAUGAUUGAUAGGGAUAGUUGGGGGUGCUAGUAUUUCGUGGCCAGAGGUGAAAUUCUUGGAUUCACGAAAGACUAACUUAUGCGAAAGCAUUCACCAAGGAUGUCUUCAUCA
RNAcentral lists this ribosomal RNA (394 nucleotides) under Marimonadida sp. RNAcentral's name for it is "partial small subunit ribosomal RNA". It matches the Rfam family "Eukaryotic small subunit ribosomal RNA", at positions 582 to 975 of the family's 1831-position model. Lineage: Eukaryota; Cercozoa; Imbricatea; Marimonadida. The record is from RNAcentral.